Long non-coding RNA from Oncorhynchus tshawytscha (Chinook salmon), 2315 nucleotides. RefSeq lists it as uncharacterized. Lineage: Eukaryota; Metazoa; Chordata; Actinopteri; Salmoniformes; Salmonidae. The transcript is spliced from 3 exons. The record is from RefSeq and is a predicted model, not a curated record.
UUCUGUUCUGUGUUUGUAUUUCACCGUUCAGGACUGUUUACGUUUCGUUCUCGUGUUUUGUUGUUUUUGUUCGAGUCUUCGUUUCCAUUAAAAGAGAAUAUGAAUACUUACCACGCUGCACCUUGGGCCUCCUCUCUUUCUCCCAAUGACGAACGUUACAUGUUUUGAAGUUUGGUUGGUUGCCAUGUUUACUAAUGACAUUAGAAAGUAAUUGAAAACAACAACAAAAAAAUGUUCUCCCUUGCAUACACUUCUCCGCUCUCAUUCCCUCAUCAUUUUCUCUCGCCCUUCAUCCUCCUUCACCUUCUUUCUCCCCCUCUACCUCUCCAUCACCCUCCCUCUCUUGUCUUUCUCUACCCUUUUCCUCCUCCACUCACUUUCUAUCUCUCAGAGCUGAGAGUGCUGAUUGUGUGGGGCCACAAAUGUCUGUGAGGCACUCUGUUGGAAACACAAUCCUGGGUAGAGAGGCCUUUCAAGCUGGGGGAAUCACUGCCCAGUGUGAGAAGAGAGGUGGAGGAGUGAGAGGGAAGAAGCUCACUCUGGUCAAAGCUCCUGGCUGGUUGGAGGAAAUAUUGUUUAGGUGACAAACCAGAUUUGGUUAAUUGAGAGAACUUAUAAGCAGUACAUCUCUUUGCCACCCUGGACCCCAUGCUUUCAUACUUGUGGUUGAGGCUGAGUGUCGGUUAACAGAAGCAAGCAGGAAAUCAGUAGAGGAACACCUGGAGCUUCUCAGUGAGAGAGUCUGGGGUUACACUAUUGUGCUGUUCGCCUAUGGGGAAGGUCUGGGAGACACAACAACCAUUGAGCAGCACAUUAAGAAUGAAGGGAAGGCACUCCAGUGGCUCAUUGAGAGAUGUGGGAGCAGGUACUAUGUCUUUGACAGUAAAGGUAAAGCCACUGGCACUGAGGUCACAGAGCUGCUGGAGAAGAUAGAGGAGAUGGUGGCAGGGAACAAUGGGAGCCACUUUUGGAGUUGAGGGUGCAGUGUUGCUGAACAUUGAGGAGAAGGGAAGGGGAGUGGUGGAGAGAUCGGAAGAAAGACGUCUGAAAACGCAGAAGGAAAGGAAGAAACUAAAUGCGCUUCUGAAUGGUUGGUAUAUCUACUCAGGAGUGAAUCACAAAUGUUAAUAAAUAAAUGGUCAGAAGAGACAACAUGAACCACUUAAAUAUGAUAAAUAUGCUCCAAGCAACAAUUCCACCUGCAUAUACCCAUUUAUUAUUCCUCCACAAAACUGGGGUGGGUCUUUGUUGGGAGAAGUGCUGCUGGAAAUGCCAUCUUGAACACUUAAGUUUUGAGGUUGGAAGGAGAAGUGUAAAAUCUACACAACAGUCGGCUAAGGUUGGGGGGAGGCAAGUCACUGUCGUGGACACACCCGGAUGGUGGAAAUUCUUUCCGGCCGAGUUCACUUCUCCCUUGGUGAAAUCAGAAAUCCUGAAGGGUGUUUCUCUUUGUUGUCCGUUUCCCAAUGCUGUCCUCCUGAUGAUUCCUGUAGACACAGCGUUUACUGAGGAACAGAGGAAGGUGACACAGGACAACAUGAAGCUGCUAGGAGAGGGAGACUGGAGACACACUAUAGUGGUCUUUACCUGGGGGGCAUGUCUGGGAGACACAACUAUUGAGCAGCACAUUGAGAGUGAAGGGAAGGCCCUGCAUUGGCUUAUAGAGAAAUGUGGGAACAGGUAUCAUGUCUUUGACAGUAAGGGUAAAGACUCAGACGCUCAGGUCAAAGAGCUGCUGGUGAAGAUAGAGGAGAUGGUGGCAGGGAAACAUUUAUUUUGCCUGAGCACUGAGAUCCAUAAACCAGUGGAGACAGGGAUCAUUCCACGGGCAGAUGAUGAAGCCACUGAGAAGAUUUCACAACUUCUCAAUCAGGAAUGAGAUCGGAGAAACUGGGAGAUUUUGGAAAUAGCAAAGACAUCAACUCCACCAAUUCUAAAGGGAAAUAGGAGUAUGCCUGAACCUUAUGGAACUGACUGUGAGUAAUCACUUUUCUCUCUCUCUUUACCCCAGCAUGCUUUGUUCGAAGUUCUUCAUUGUUAUUGUUUUUCCUGAACAGUCAGUGGAGACAAGCCACCCCUGGAGAGCUCUGGACUGGGAGAGGGACAAAUCCCAAUGGAAGAUCCGAGGGAGGAUCAAGGUGUUAGCACAGGCGGUCAACAAUUAGAAAGAUUGCAGUCGAUAGAUCUGGAGGUGAGAGCACAGUGGAAGGAACUGCUGGAGAAGGAGUGGAGUCGGAGAGAGAUAGCCAGUCAGCUGAAUCUGCCAUCUCAUGGCUGGGAUCCAUUCCGUUGUCCUGGGUGGAAGGCAGAACACA